Molecule: RNA transcript, 1792 nt
Organism: Populus euphratica (Euphrates poplar)
Lineage: Eukaryota; Viridiplantae; Streptophyta; Magnoliopsida; Malpighiales; Salicaceae
Exons: 3
Source: RefSeq, a predicted model, not a curated record
UUUUCACAAAAUUACAAACAUGCCCAAUAUAUAAAAGGCAUUUUUCCCACUUAAGCAGCCAACAAGAACUUGCAAGUGAAGUUCUCUCUUCUAUCUAUUUAUUAUUUAUUAGUUUCUCUCCAUCAAUCUUUAGCUUUACAGCCAGCAUUAUCAAUGGCGUACCUGCAUGCUUUGACUACAAUAAAUUGCUUGUUUUGCGUUUUACUAAGGUUAUGGUUGAUGAAUUAUUUACUUCUAUGGGAUCUAAGUACUUUCCAAGUAAAAAAAAAAAAAAACAAAAUUGAAAUCCAUGACCAAGAUUGAGUUUUUUUUCCUUUUUAAGAUAAACCCAAUUCAAAAAUUUUGGAUUUUCUUAUUUUUAGUUACAUGGGCAAAGAAAGAUUUGAGAUAGGAGGGGUUUUGUUCUAUAUUUUAAGUGAUGGUAUCGGUUAUUGGGAUUUGCGAUGAAUUGUUACGGUCAUGAGGAGAACUACUAGAUAGUAUGGUUCUUCUUAGCUGCUGCAUGUGCUUGAAAAUGGACCUCCUCCAUAUUUGUUUGUGGCUUUUCGUUCUUGUAUGUGAAUGGCCCUUGAUUUAAUAAAGCACAUGCAAUUUUGAUUUAAUGUGCAAAUGAAAAGAUAAAAAGACAAGGAGAAUAUGCUUCGCUGAAGACAUUUUGAGAUACAAUAUCCUAAAGUGAGUUUGAUAUUGAUGACUUAACAGCAUCGUCUGUCUUUUGGCUGAUGCAUAAACAUUGAUAGAUGGGUGAACUUGGGAAGUAUGGGUCUGUAACCGAGUCAACAGCAGGUGCUGAUCCAUGGUGACCUGAGUGUCAUCAACAUACAAGCCAUAUGAAUUUACCUUGAAACUCACCGUUGCUGUGUUGAUUGGCCCAUAACCUAGUUAAAUUUAUGUUCAGAUUUUUUUAUAUUCUUAUUUUGUGAUUCUUUCAUUUCAAGGGUAAAUUUGCUGCACGCAGAAAGGGGUAAAUUCUUGGUUGAUUUAAUGCCAAAUUACCUUUUGCAUGGUGCCCAAAUUGUGCUGCUUUUCACAAUUGAAGGGAGAUGCUGUCCAUUGGCUCCCUUCAGGUUUUAAGAGAUAAUUUCCCCUCAUAGUGCUUCCUGAGGAAAUCUUUUGCUGGUCAGUGGAUACUCUCCAAUUAGCUGUGACAAACUUCUCUGCAGACAAGCACGCCUGGUGGAUCCAAUCUCCCAUCAAAAUCGCGGCAAGCUCUUUGCAAGUACACUAAGAUCAGACUCUUGAGAGGAUGAUGUCUGAUCGGAAACCUACUGCUGAUGACUUUUUGGAAAAAUCUUUCAUGGUUUCUGGUUGAGUUAACUUUGAUGAAGAAUAAAAGAACAGCUGAAUCCUGCUAGACCUUUAUUUUCCUGUUCCUUUCUAUGCAGCAAUGGAUGGUUCUGCUACCACUGGAAUGAGUAGCAAACAUUCUCUCUGUCAAAACAGCCUUAAAACAACAUAAAUAAGAUUGUAGACUCAUAACAUUAGGAUAGGUCAUUUUGCUGCCUUCUCUUGGAAUUGUUUGUUGAUGUAAUUUUGGCUUAUAGAAAUGCCACCCAUGGGCAUGAAUGGCCAAACAUUGUCUACCAACAACUGUUACACUCAUAGCAGGGCUUGGUUGUAUUUUAUGUCAUUUGCCAUUGUAAUGCAUACACGGUCAAUAUUCACAGCUAUUGGCAGAAUCCCUGGUAUGCUCACGGCCAUCUGUUUCUGUAAUGUCUUGAAAUUUCUUUCAGAAAGGGGAAGAAUCUUGGCAUUGCCUUCAAUAUAUGGGAAUUCUUUAUUUUUUCCAAAA